GGCAGACGGCUCAGUAACACGUAGUCAAUCUACCCUAUGGACGGGGAUAACCUCGGGAAACUGAGGAUAAAACCCGAUAGAUCAUAAUGCCUGGAAUGGUUUAUGGUUCAAAUGAUUCGUCGCCGUAGGAUGGGACUGCGGCCUAUCAGCUUGUUGGUGAGGUAAUGGCCCACCAAGGCUAUUACAGGUACGGGCUCUGAGAGGAGAAGCCCGGAGAUGGGUACUGAGACACGGACCCAGGCCCUAUGGGGCGCAGCAGGCGAGAAACCUUUGCAAUGUGCGCAAGCACGACAAGGUUAAUCCGAGUGUUUCCUGCUAAAGGAAUCUUUUGUUAGUUCUAAAACCACUAAUGAAUAAGGGGUGGGCAAGUUCUGGUGUCAGCCGCCGCGGUAAAACCAGCACCUCAAGUGGUCAGGAGGAUUAUUGGGCCUAAAGCAUCCGUAGCCUGUUCUAUGAGUUUCCGGUUAAAUCCAUUAGCUCAACUAAUGGGCUGCCGAAAAUACUGUGGAACUAGGGAGUGGGAGAGGUAGACGGUACUCGGUAGGAAGGGGUAAAAUCCUUUGAUCUAUUGAUGACCACCUGUGGCGAAGGCGGUCUACCAGAACACGUUCGACGGUGAGGGAUGAAAGCUGGGGGAGCAAACCGGAUUAGAUACCCGGGUAGUCCCAGCUGUAAACGAUGCAGACUCGGUGAUGCCCUGGCUUGUGGCCAGUGCAGUGCCGCAGGAAGCCGUUAAGUUUGCCGCCUGGGAAGUACGUACGCAAGUAUGAAACUUAAAGGAAUUGGCGGGGGAGCACCACAAGGGGUGAAGCCUGCGGUCAAUU
This 824-nucleotide ribosomal RNA is filed under the name uncultured marine crenarchaeote. RNAcentral describes it as "bacterial SSU rRNA". It matches the Rfam family "Archaeal small subunit ribosomal RNA", at positions 80 to 906 of the family's 1478-position model. Lineage: Archaea; Thermoproteati; Thermoproteota. The record is from RNAcentral.